This 5222-nucleotide long non-coding RNA is filed under the name Sus scrofa (pig). Its description in RNAcentral is "lncRNA (ENSSSCG00015033735.1)". Lineage: Eukaryota; Metazoa; Chordata; Mammalia; Artiodactyla; Suidae. The record is from RNAcentral.
AGGGCCACUCCCACAACAUAUAGAGAUUCCCAAGCUAGGGGUCUAAUCGGAGCUGCAGCUGCUGGUCUACACCAGAGCCACAGAAACAUGGGAUCUGAGCCGCAUCUUUGACCUACACCACAGCAAUGCCAGAUCCUUAACCCACUGAGCAAGGCCAGGGAUCGAACACAUGUCCUUAUGGAUGCUAGUCAGGUUUGUUACCACUGAGCCAUGACAGGAACUCAAGAAAGGGGCUUUAAAAGCUCUUCCAUAAAGGAUGCUGCUCUAAGCUCUCUACUGGCUGAUGAUCCUGGUGCCCAGCAGGCGUUUAACGCUGGCUCCCUGCUGAGGCGCAAGAGAUGCUCCCGUGACCUCUUUUGACUCCUUCCUUAGUCCCUGCCCCUCGGGGCACCCAAUUCAGCCUCUUGGCCAAGAACAGCCUCCUCGGGCUGGUUGAAGGAAAACAGCUCAGGAUCCUUCAUUCGGCUCAUUCUGCCAGACAGAGAGGUCUCCGUCCAGCCCUCUUUCAUGGCUGGUCUUUUCUUUCCAGCUUCUUUUGCUUUGCUCAAAUAGACACCCAAGGGAGAUUAGGAAAUCCGUGACCUAAGCAGACAUCCAGCUGACAGAGGAGGUGUCACUCCUCCCUUCAGGCUGCCUGUUGCCACGCAAGGUCCCUGGACUGUGUCCCUCAGAAUCCACCCUUCCCCCUGGAGAAAAAAAUGCUCCUCCAGCCGUGGCUGCUCAGAGAUGGGCAGAGAAGCGCCUCAGCACCACCCCUCGCCCGCUCCAGGGGUCACGCCUGGGGCUAAGCACUCCAAUUUCACUUGAGACCCUGACUCAUGUUCUUUUAACCGGCCUGUCUGCGGUCUGCUCGGGCCUGCAGGCCCAGGCUCCAGGCCGGGACUCUGGUGGGUUCUGCACACAGAAUCGGGGCCUGCCCUGCUCCAGCUCUCUCCUUUGAAGGAUACAGCCUCAACGGCAAGCAGCUGGAGCUACCCCAGGCUCUGUGCGUUUCUGCUCAGAAAGAUGACAAUGUCCAUGGGAACUUGGGCAUCAACCUCCCCUCUAUCUCAGGACUGUAGACCACGCUUGGGGGAAAGAGCAGAAGUGUGAAAUGUAUCCGACGUGGUCCCAUUUUUCAGGUUUUGCUCCCUCCCCCAAAUUUACUGCUUUUGUUCUCAUUCCGGAUCCUUCACAAAGUCAUUUUUUUGGGUAUAAAAUUUCUGUCCACAGAUCCUGGUUGUUAUCUGGGAGCAGACUGAGCCUCUGAUGGCCUCUGAGCAUCAAAACGCCCUGAUGGAGUUUCUAGCCAGACACCUUCCACCACCCUGCUGUGAACACCACAAAGACUCUAUCAGUUCCAGAGAAGGGAUUAAGAAAAUUGCAUCACGGGAUUUUCUCCCCCACCCUUACACCAUUCUCAUUACACUUUUGUUCCCAGAUGUAUAACCACUAAUUAGGGCUCAGAAUGUCUAUUAACUGCAACUCUCCAGUAUCCAGGGAACCUGGCAGAACCCAGCAGAGUGGGAAAGAUGAAGAAGAUUCUUCUACCCUCUCAGAUCUAAGAUCUUGGGAUCUAGGGCAACCUUGUGUACAUCCAGAAGAAGGGCCAAGGGAACAGAGAACCAGAGCCCAGCCCUGGAGGGAGAGGCAAAGACGAGGACUCAGAGGCUGGGGAGUCGGGACUGGGUUUUAGAAAGUGUGUCAGUGUCACACUCAAUGGGGGAGCCCAGGAGGGAGGUGUGGAAGAUUGAGGGGGGCCAAAUCUAUCUCUGGUUACUUUUACACUCUUCUAACAGCUUUUUCAUCUACAUUUCCCCUUUCCUGUGUUCACCUCCUUCCUAUUCAAUUAUAUUCUGGAAAGCUCCCUCCAAAUCCCAAGUGGCACUUUCCUCAAUAACAUUCCUUUGAAAAUCCUAGUCUCUUCAGAACCCUCUCCUGUCCUGCAGAGUUUUCAUUUUUUCUUUAUGUCUCUGAGCCACAGGGAGAAAAAAAAAAGUAUUUUGUUUUGUUUUGUUUUUUGCUCUUGUUGUCAUUGUGUAUCUCCUGUCCCAGAGAAUAAUAGCAAUUCAUCUAUUUUAAAGGAAAAUUUGAAGAUACCGUCAACUGAAGAGAAUAAAAAGGAUCCAUGCCUUAGAACUCAAGCAAUCACCACUAUCAUUUUAAUGUCUAUCUGAAGUCCUUUUUCUGUUAAAGCCAUUUUUACGAUAUUGCAUUUUUCACUUGAUUUUUAAAAAAAUUUAAAGCCACAUUGUGAAUGUGUUUUAGAGCUUUGUAUAGUCUUCGAAAACAAGAUUCAAAAACAAAUCAACUUGGUUUUCUAUCUUAUUCCUGUACCAGGAGGAGUGUAAACAUAUGUUAGAGAGCUUUCCCAAAACAUGUUCUGAUUGAAUCAUAGUGAAGAAAAGCCAUGAAUGAUUUUGGUCAAUUUAAGUUCAACUUGGGCUAAAGAGAAUUCCUAACUUAUUUCCUCAUUGGGUAAUUAUAGCUGUUGAAAGAAACCUUGUGGAAAUUAUUCAGGAAUCAUGUUUACAGAACACUAUCAAGACUUGCCAAAACAAGUCAUCUUGUUUGAACCACAGAGUAUAAGGUCAGAAGUGGAGAUUCCAAAUGCCUAGACUGGGGGGACUUGGUCCUGUUGAAACGAGAAAACUUGACGAGGAAACACAGGGUUACCGAAAGCUCAUAUUUCAGUUAGUUAGUUCAUCAGGUUUGGAAAGAAAGACUCACAUGGUUAGAAAACAAGUAUUCUGGAAUCGUGUUACCAUCAACAACAUUCCCCUCUAAGCUUCGGGUAGCUCACUGCGAGUCAUGACUGACAGUUAAUAAAUGUAGUAUUUAUGUAAUAAUGCCUGCGGCGACGCUGUUCCAGAAAGCGUAGAGGAAUUGACCCCAAGGUAAAAGCAAUGCUCUCCCCUAAAUAAGCUCAUCACUCACAUUCACACUUCAAAUGUCACCUCGGGUGAUGACAAUGAUGAGGAUAACAGCUAACUUUUAAUGAGCACUUACUCUAUGCCAGAAAAUAUUCUGAGUGCCUCAGAUACACUAUGAAGUCCUUUGAACUGCCUUCAGUUAACAUCACGUGACAGCCCAGAAGACUGACACGUGGGGAGGUUAAGAAAAUUGCCCAAGGUCAUCAGCUGAGGCAGAGGAGCCAGAAUUUAAACCCAGGGAGUCUGACUCCAGAGACAGUGCUCUUAACUAAUUAUUCCACUGUUCUUAGCAUAUCUACCAGUAUUGUGGUUAGCCUAAUUUUGAGCAAUGCAUUCAUUAUUUUCUUCUCAAACAUCUGCAAUGCCUGUCACGUAGGCGACUUCGUAGAGCGCUGGAAAGACUUUGGCGCACAUUGCCUCAUUCGAUCCUAUGUUUAACCUGUGUUCAACGGACGGCGAGAGUAGACCUCGGAUGAAACAAGUAACGUGUCAUUUACUGUACUACGCAAAAAGACAGAGUCAAGAACAAAGCGCAUGACCACUGACAGGCCUUCUAACUUCAACUUCAUGGCCCUGAUCAAACACAGAGGCAUCGAACAGGCAUCAUGCCAAUGUCUCAAGUAGGCGCUCAAGACAGAGCUUUUCUCAGCAUUGAAAUCUGGUGACAAACAUUCAGGGCAACCAACGUAAACAACAAUUAUGACAUCCUUGGAAAUCUCUGCGGCAGAUAAAAACUUAGGCUUUCCUGCUGCUUUUAUUGCUCUAGAACCAAUAGUACGUAUCUUCUUGACAUGAAGAGCAGCAUCUGUAAGGCUGAGAUAGGGUUGAUCCUGGGAUACACUGGCAGAGAAGUCAGACAAGCCAAAGGGGGCUCUUUCUCUCUGAGUUCACUUUCUGGAUCAUUUUGGUGACAAAUUUUGGAAACUUCCAGAGGUGAGCAUAGAUCACGAAGCCCUUACUAGGAAGGCAUCAGCUAUAGAUGACAGCCAUUUCUCCAAAGAGGGGAUAACUUUCUUAAAAGGGAACAUGGGCUCCUGGACACACUAGCCUUGGGUAAGUUAAAAGCUUCUGGCUCACCUCCUUCUUGGUAGACCUCAGAAACUGCAGGUGAUAAAGAAAAAAAAUAAUAAUAAAGUCGUGCAGCAGGGCAAUCCACUUUUAUAGGUAACAUUUCAUGAUAUCCAGUUAUGACAGACAGGAAAACAGGUCACAUUCUACAGUGAGGGAAAAAAAUCUUCGCAUUCAUGCUCCUGAGGUUGUCUUACUACAAGCGUUGUUAUAAAUGUUGCAAAUGACAUCCCUGAGCCUCUAGGCUGAUCACAUCCGAAUGAGAAGUCCCACAAAAUCAUCUAUUCUUGCCUAAGUACCUUGCUGGCUUUUGAGUCUUUUCCCUUGGUGCAUCCGAAAGGAGACUAGCACGUGGACUGAUGCGUCAUUGUGCUGGCUUUUGAGUCUUUUCCCUUGGUGCAUCCGAAAGGAGACUAGCACCAUGUGGACUGAUGCGUCAUUGUACGUACAUAUGUCCCCAGUUUAUUGGCAGAAGAGGAUGAGGCCUGAUAUAGAGUAUCAGUCUUGGGAGGGAGGUUCCUUAUUUCUUAUUACUGGUAUUGCUAAUCAGUUGUGCCUCACUAGCUGCCUCUCGGGGUGACUUACACCCAAGGAAAAUAAAUCAAAUGCCAAGAACUGAAAAACAGAGGGUCAGAGGCUCCUUUCCUUGAAUCUUCAUAAGGGGCAGCUUUUGCAGCUGCGUCUACUGGAGCUGCCCUGCACAGGAGGACUCUUCCCACCAACCCCAUGAGGUGGGCAGGAUACCUGAGGCCACAGCUCAUGUUUGGCUGCCUCUGCGACUCCACCAAGAUGUCUUUAGAAAGUUAAGCAAUGAGGAACUUGCUGGUGGGGCGGUUUCCUGUAGCGGGGAUGGUGGACUUACUGAGAGUGUGAUUCCCAGGGGGCUGAGGCUGCUACACUGAGCAGCUUCAUAUCAUCACCAACACUGAUUUUUUUUUUUUUUUUUCCUUAUGGCCGCACCUGCAGCAUCUGGAAGUUCCCAGGCUAGAGGUCAAAUCAGAGCUGCAGCUGCUGGCGUACACCACAGCCACAGCAACGUGGGAUCCGUAAUCCACUGAGUGAGGCCAGGGAUCGAACCCACAUCCUCACGGACGGUAUGUCAGGUUCUUAACCUGCUGAGCCACAACGGGAACUCCUGAUUUUCUUUUCAUUGCGUGGUAUCACAGUGAUGAUGGCUGAGCCAUUUAUCUUAAUAAAUCAGAAGCAGGUUUUAAAAGCCCUCCUCCUUUACGAUGCCUCAUU